This is a long non-coding RNA of Solanum lycopersicum (tomato), 442 nucleotides long. RefSeq lists it as uncharacterized. NCBI's taxonomy places the organism in Eukaryota, Viridiplantae, Streptophyta, Magnoliopsida, Solanales, Solanaceae. The record is from RefSeq and is a predicted model, not a curated record.
AUCAAAUUGCUCUCCAUUCUCUCUGCUUUCUCCCUCCCAAAGAAGAACUCCAUUGAAGGGCUAGGUUGUCAUUAGGGAAGCAAGAAAGGUUCUUUUCUCCAUCAAUAUUCAACAAUUAACAAGGAUUGGUUGAUGGUAAUACCAAUGAGGAUGGCUUGUGGAAUGAGAAUUGAUUCCGAUCAUUGAAGGGUUUAUGACCAUCAUGCAGGAAGGCUUUGAUGAUUUGUCCAAAUGUGGGUAUGUCCUCAAGUUCCGAGGAUGAUGCUUUUCUCUUACUCUGCCUAUGUUACAUUGUUAUAGUCUAAAGACAAUCAUUGCACUCUUAUUGUUUCAAGAUAUUGUUGUAAGCCCUAAGUGUCAUUUAUACAUUUGUGUAAGAGAUAUGCCCAUAUUGUACUAUUCCGUUUAGAUGGUUUAAUGUGAGACAUCCCUAUUGAGACUA